This is a long non-coding RNA of Haliotis rubra (blacklip abalone), 571 nucleotides long. RefSeq lists it as uncharacterized. The transcript is spliced from 5 exons. NCBI's taxonomy places the organism in Eukaryota, Metazoa, Mollusca, Gastropoda, Lepetellida, Haliotidae. The record is from RefSeq and is a predicted model, not a curated record.
GCACUUAUCACUCACGGAUAUCAGAAGCCCGUAUCACACCUCCCGCCCGUCCCUGCGCCAGUCCCGCCUCUAUAUAGGAGCCCGAUACCUCCUCACAGACGGCGGGCUGACAGGACGUCCACACAAGAACCAUGAAGUUGUUCCCGGUGCUGCUGCUGUUUUCGAUGUUGGUGCUGCUGCCGCAAGUCGAUUCAUUCAGUUGGAGACCAGCAAUACAACUGGGUCGCAAGUACUUGCCCAAAAUACAUCGGGGGAUAAAGGCCGGGUGUAAUUUUUACAGGAAGUACGUCGGCCGCCAAGCAGAGCUCCUGGACACGAACAAAGAUGGCCGCGUGGACAGGUCCGAGGGCCGCGAACUAUCUUGGAGUGGAUCACGAGGACGAAGAACUUCACGACUUCAUGAACAAGGCUGAUUUCAAACGCGACGGCAUCGUGGACUUGGACGAGUUCCUAGACGCCGCCAUCAUGGCACAAGCCCAGAAGGAACAUCUUGAUUGAGGACCGGAACACAUUUAACAUCCAUCUGUAUCAACGCACACGCCAAUAUUCAAUAAACUCUCUUUCCGUUUAA